CCUGUGGCUUAGAUGGUAAAGAGUCUGCCUGCAGUGCAGGAGACCCAGGUUCGAUCCCUGCGUCAGGA
Transfer RNA from Ovis aries (sheep), 68 nucleotides. It matches the Rfam family "tRNA". Rfam says of the family: Transfer RNA (tRNA) molecules are approximately 80 nucleotides in length. Their secondary structure includes four short double-helical elements and three loops (D, anti-codon, and T loops). NCBI's taxonomy places the organism in Eukaryota, Metazoa, Chordata, Mammalia, Artiodactyla, Bovidae. The record is from Rfam.